Molecule: ribosomal RNA, 619 nt
Filed under: uncultured bacterium
Lineage: Bacteria
Description: bacterial SSU rRNA
Rfam family: Bacterial small subunit ribosomal RNA
Source: RNAcentral
UGGGCAUGCGGCGCAUUAGCUAGACGGCGGGGUAACGGCCCACCGUGGCGACGAUGCGUAGGGGUUCUGAGAGGAAGGUCCCCCACACUGGUACUGAGACACGGACCAGACUCCUACGGGAGGCAGCAGUGAGGAAUAUUGGUCAAUGGGAGAGAUCCUGAACCAGCCAAGCCGCGUGAGGGAAGACGGCCCUAUGGGUUGUAAACCUCUUUUGUCGGAGAACAAAACCCGGGACGUGUCCCGGACUGCGUGUAUCCGAAGAAAAAGCAUCGGCUAACUCCGUGCCAGCAGCCGCGGUAAUACGGAGGAUGCGAGCGUUAUCCGGAUUUAUUGGGUUUAAAGGGUGCGUAGGCGGUCCGUUAAGUCAGCGGUAAAAUUGCGGGGCUCAACCCCGUCGAGCCGUUGAAACUGGCAGACUUGAGUUGGCGAGAAGUACGCGGAAUGCGCGGUGUAGCGGUGAAAUGCAUAGAUAUCGCGCAGAACUCCGAUUGCGAAGGCAGCGUACCGGCGCCAGACUGACGCUGAGGCACGAAAGCGUGGGGAUCGAACAGGAUUAGAUACCCUGGUAGUCCACGCAGUAAACGAUGAAUGCUGGUUGUCCGGGUCGAAUGAGACCUGG